AUAUUAACACCUUUCCAGUGAGUUUUGCAGGUCAUAUCUCCAUCAACCGAGGUGCUGUCCUCUCUGUGAACCCAUGCCUACGGCAGGCCUCUUAAAGCAGUUGGGCUCUCAGCAAAUUCAGAAGGAUAAAACUCCGCCAUGGGAAGAAUACCUUACAUUGUUAAGGUUUCAACUGCCUCAUUGACAAAAGAGAGAUUUGGAGAUUGGCCACAUCUUCUCUUUUGCAUGCUAAUAUUGGACGCUUUAUGGUCAGUUGUUAUUCUUUGAAUUCUGAUGGACCUACGAUGGAGAAUUUAAGCGGUCCAAGGAGAUUCCUUGUAGUUUUCUUCACCUCUGCUCUUUCAAGUAACAACUUUUAAACUCGUUACAGUACCUUAUAAAUUGCUUGUUCUGCAAAGCACCUGCUGUUGGUGCAUUAGGUGCAAUCUUUGGAUUAGUAAGUCAUCUCGAACAUAUUCGCAAAAUAAGAUUAAUGUUCUUAAGAACCUUUUCCAACUAAUGAUUGUCCGCUUUUAAAA
Molecule: long non-coding RNA, 518 nt
Organism: Gossypium arboreum
Lineage: Eukaryota; Viridiplantae; Streptophyta; Magnoliopsida; Malvales; Malvaceae
Exons: 2
Source: RefSeq, a predicted model, not a curated record